This 503-nucleotide long non-coding RNA is filed under the name Elaeis guineensis (African oil palm). RNAcentral describes it as "long non-coding RNA (EGUI_LNC040875)". The record is from RNAcentral. Lineage: Eukaryota; Viridiplantae; Streptophyta; Magnoliopsida; Arecales; Arecaceae.
AUCAUUAGAAUUGAAAGUAGAAAUUGAAAUAAGAGACCUACCACAAGAUUUCAUGGAAUCUAAGUCCAGGAUUGAAGUUUGAUUAGGUAAAAUGUAUUCGAUGGUCGAGUCUGCUUUUUUCCUACAAGCAUAUCGCAACAACUCUGGCUUAUUCAAUUUUAUAUUAUCCUAAGUUGCAUUACUUGUUCCUCCAUCACCUUCACUCAAGUGCUGCUCAUUCUGCUCCAAAGACACUGUGUUUUUACCUUGGCUUAUUUGACCCUCAUCCUCCCCCUAUCUGAUAAGAUAGAUAGGAGACACAUGUGCUGGUAAAUCUGGUAACACAUAAUUUGGAAUCACCCCUUUCUUUCCAUUCUCCCCUCGCAGAGGUGACAUAUAAUAUGGUUUCAUUUCUCAGAAAGUGACAUCCAUACUGACAAAGACUUUUCUAGUGGGAAGAUGAUAACACUUAUAGCCCUUUUUAGUAGUAGAAUACCCAAUAAACACACAUUUAAGUGCCCGAG